GCCGGAGGGAAAGAGAGAGAAAGAGAGCCAGGGACAAGAACGUCACAUUAGAAAGUGAUUUCAGUAGCACUGAGGUGUAUAUGGGUUGAUGCAGCAAAUCGGGUUCGAACCCAAAUGAAGUGAAUCGGACUGGUCAAUGUGACCUGCCAUCCUGAAUUCAACUCGUCGACUCAUGAGAAUGAUAUUUGUCUUCUGAAGCCGUCAGCUCCUGUGAACUUCACAGACUACAUUCAGCCGAUCUGCUUAGCCUCAGAAAACAGCACAUUCGACAAUGAGACCAGCAGCUGGUUAUCAGUUUUGGUGAUGCUGAUGGCCUGACGCAGCAGGUAGGGGCGAACUCUAUGUCUGAGUUUGUCUUUGCUCAAGCAGUCCAGAAAUGGCUCAGAUACGCUCCGGAUCGUAUGGGUGGCGCAGGACGCACAUCAUCCAUCCCCAUCCCGGAGUAAAAAUUAAAAAGUGACGUGAAACAUAGAAAUCUUAAUAGGAAACUUUGUCUUUUAAUAAAGUAUUUUGUAAACGAUACAUGUCUAUUGACCUUUUUUUGUUUAGUUUUUUUUCUCUGUUAC
This is a long non-coding RNA of Oreochromis aureus, 566 nucleotides long. The record is from Ensembl. Lineage: Eukaryota; Metazoa; Chordata; Actinopteri; Cichliformes; Cichlidae.